UCGUGGAGUGAUUUGUCUGCUUAAUUGCGUUAACGAACGAGACCUUAACCUGCUAAAUAGGAGCGUCUAUCUUCGGAUAAACGCCUUUCUUCUUAGAGGGACUUUGUGCGUUUCAGCAUGAGGAAGUUUGAGGCUAAAACA
Molecule: ribosomal RNA, 141 nt
Filed under: uncultured eukaryote
Lineage: Eukaryota
Description: partial 18S ribosomal RNA
Rfam family: Eukaryotic small subunit ribosomal RNA
Source: RNAcentral